GUUUGACUGUAUGGAUGGUGUUCAGCACCAAGAAUAGGUAUGUUUGCCUAUGUGUGGAUGGUUUUCAGCACCAAGGGCAGGCAUGUUUGUAU
Non-coding RNA from Branchiostoma floridae (Florida lancelet), 92 nucleotides. NCBI's taxonomy places the organism in Eukaryota, Metazoa, Chordata, Leptocardii, Amphioxiformes, Branchiostomatidae. The record is from Rfam.